This 253-nucleotide ribosomal RNA is filed under the name uncultured bacterium. RNAcentral describes it as "partial 16S ribosomal RNA". It matches the Rfam family "Bacterial small subunit ribosomal RNA", at positions 524 to 776 of the family's 1533-position model. The record is from RNAcentral.
UACGAAGGGGGCUAGCGUUGUUCGGAAUCACUGGGCGUAAAGCGCGCGCAGGCGGUCCUUUAAGUCUGAUGUGAAAUCCCACGGCUCAACCGUGGAAGGUCAUUGGAAACUGGGGGACUUGAGUACAGAAGAGGAAAGCGGAAUUCCAAGUGUAGCGGUGAAAUGCGUAGAGAUUUGGAGGAACACCAGUGGCGAAGGCGGCUUUCUGGUCUGUAACUGACGCUGAGGCGCGAAAGCGUGGGGAGCAAACAGG